CCUACGGGUGGCAGCAGUGGGGAAUAUUGCGCAAUGGGCGAAAGCCUGACGCAGCGACGCCGCGUGAGGGAUGAAGGUCUUCGGAUCGUAAACCUCUGUCAGCAGGGAAGAACGGUCACUGUGCUAAUCAGCAGUGAAUUGACGGUACCUGCAAAGGAAGCACCGGCUAACUCCGUGCCAGCAGCCGCGGUAAUACGGAGGAUGCGAGCGUUAAUCGGAUUUAUUGGGCUUAAAGCGCGCGUAGGCGGUAUGUUAAGUCAGGGGUGAAAUCCCGGGGCUCAACGGUGGAAUUGCAUUUGAUACUGGCAGUCUUGAGUGUAGGUGAGGUUGGCGGAAUUCCAGGUGUAGCAGUGAAAUGCGUAGAUAUCAGGAAGAACAUCGAUGGCGAAGGCGACUAACU
Molecule: ribosomal RNA, 400 nt
Filed under: uncultured bacterium
Lineage: Bacteria
Description: partial 16S ribosomal RNA
Rfam family: Bacterial small subunit ribosomal RNA
Source: RNAcentral